GUAAUGGACCCAGCUAUGUAAAUUAUGGAUUUUGGUGAUUUUGCUAAUGGAACAGUGAAUCGAUUUGUUUAGAAAGUAAGGAAGUAUAGAGAGAGAAGUUUAGAGAGGAAAAGACAUUUCUCAUUUCUUGUCUUCCACUACAAGCAUCGGAGACUAUAUAUGUGGUCCCAAAAAUAAAAGGAAUUCCAUCACAAGUAAUUAAAAUAACACAUAAAGGAUAAAACGUUUUUAUAGGAAAACGCGAUCCUUCUCUUCUCUUGGAUAGCAUUUAGCCACUUUCUUUGGUACUCUCUUUCGAGACUAACUCAGCCAUCAUUUCCUUCUUGCAGCUCAAAUCCCCAACUUUACAUUUUGGCUCUAAUUCCUCCAUCCCUUCUGCAAUCAAACUCAAAUCCGUAACAAUACCCCCUUCUAAAGUAGAUCCUUGUCCGCAAGGAUAGAAGGAGGGAAAACGCCGGCGGAUAAAAGCGACAUCUUCCCAAGUGGCAAGAUCAGCCCCCAAGUUCAACCACUGUACCUGCAUUUGGGAAACGGGAGUGUUCUUCCGCACAAUCUCACGAGUAUCUAGAACUGCUAAAGGUUCGAUUUUGAACUGGCCGUCGUCAGUAAUUUCGGGCAGAUCUGGUACAGGUAACACUCCUUCCUUCAGACAUUUCUUGAGUAGAGAUACAUGAAACACGGGAUGAAUCCGUGAAGAUUCCGGCAGAUCCAAUUUGUAAGCCACUGUGCCAACCUUCUCUAAGACCGUGUACGGACCAUAGUAGCGAGCUGAAAGUUUGAGAUUUUUGCGGAGAGAGAGAGAAUUCUGCCGAUAGGGUUGUAGUUUAAGAUAAACGCGAUCCCCAACCUCAAAGUGACGUUCUUGGCGUUUCUGAUCAGAAAAGAACUUCAUUCGCCCCUGCGCUUGAAGUAAAUUUUCCUUGAGUAAAUGAGUAAACUGCCGCCUUUCUUCAAAAAUAUCCCUUGCUUCCUCAUUAGUAGUAUCCAGUGGCGGAUCCAGGGGGGGGGCUAGGGGGGGCUUCAGCCCCCUCCCAAUUUUUGAGUUUUUUUUUAAAUUAUAGAUAUAUAUAUUUAUUAUUUUUUUUAUAUCUAUAUAUAUGUGUAUAUAAAUAAAAAAAUACAAGAAAAAAUAUAGUAAUACAUUAUUUUAUAGUAUCCAACUAUCCCAUAUUAAUUGAUCAACACAUUGAGUUGUUACAUUUAUAGUAUUAUUUUUAUCAUUUUUUCUUUCUUAGUUAAUUUUUAAUGUUAAAUUUGAGUCAAUUCUAAAGGUAAAAGUAAAAUUACUAAUUACUAACAAUGAAAAUUAGUUUAUUUGUUUAGAAGAUGAAACAAUUUUUUUUUAAGAAAAAUGAAUAAAAGUACGUUUUUAUAUGCUUUCAAUCUACUUGAUGUUGAAUUAAUUGAAUUGCGAACAAUUAUCUUAUUAUAUUAAGUGAUUGUUGAAAAAAUGUAUGAAAUGAAGUGUACGGAAUGCUCAAAAAAAUUUGCUUCGGGGGCUCCCGCCCCCGAACCCCCGUGUAAAUAUUUUCAAGCACCGUAAUCCAAUAGAUUCAGCCCCCCCUAACAUUGAAUCCUGGAUCCGCCCCCUGGUAGUAUCCAAAUAGGAACCAAGCCCCAAUUGCCGUGGAGGAAAACCGUAAAGAGCGUGAAAAGGAGUACACUUAAGACUAGAAUGAUAAUUUGUAUUAUACCAAUACUCAGCCAAAGAUAACCAUUUUAGCCAUUGUUUAGGUGUAGAGCUGGCCAUACAGCGCAGGUAGAUCUCCAGGCAUUGAUUCAAACGUUCAGUUUGUCCAUCUGUUUGAGGAUGAUAGGCUGUGGACAUAGCAAGCUUAGUACCCAUAAGCUUGAAUAAUUCUUUCCAAAAAGAGCUCACAAACACCCUGUCGCGGUCAGAAAUAAUGCAGUCUGGUGAACCAUGUAGCUUGUAUAUGUUAUCUAAAAACAACUGAGCCACAGAUUGGGCAGUAAAAGGGUGAGACAAAGCGAUGAAGUGACCAUACUUGGUAAACCGAUCUAUAACCACCAAUAUAACAUUCUUUCCACCUGACUUUGGGAGCCCCUCCACAAAAUCAAGAGAUAUCUCAGACCAUGCCCUGGUAGGAACAUGUAAAGGUUGUAAAAGCCCUGGGUAGCUUCCCACAUCAGAUUUAUUGCGCUGGCACACAUCACAUUCCUUAACCCACUUUAGGACAUCAGCUUUCAUUUUAGGCCAGUAAAAAUAGCCCUUAAGCCUCAUAUAGGUUGCAUUGAUCCCAGAGUGACCACCAUAAGGAGUGUUGUGCAUCUCUUGUAUUAAUGUAGUUCUUAACUUUGUAUCACUACCAAUAACAACUCUUCCUUUGUACUUGAGUAGGUCAGCGACUACCAAAAAUUCUGGGUAGGAUGUGGAAUCGAUAGCCUUGGCUGCCAUAACUCCAGAUAGGAAAGAAUCCUGUUGAUAACUAUUAAUAACCUUCUGCACCCAAGAAGGAACAAUAGUGGUGAGUUCAUUACAAGUAGCUUCAUUCACCAAGCAUCUAGAUAGAGCAUCAGCCACUUUAUUCUCAGAACCUUUCUUAUAUUGAAUUUCAUAGUUUAAUCCCAACAACUUAGUAAGCCACCUAAGUUGGACGGGAUUAACGGUUUUUUGAUCAAGUAAGUACUUGAGCGCUUGUUGAUCCGUCCUGAUAACAAACUUUUUUCCCUGCAGGUAUGAUUUCCACUUCUGCACUGCUACCACCACUGCGAGGAAUUCUUUUUCAUAGAUAGAUAGAGACUGGUUUUGUGGGCACAAAGCUUUGCUCAUGUAGGCUAUGGGCUGAUUGUUCUGCAUUAGUACCGCCCCCACACCACAACCGCUGGCAUCCGUUUCCAAAACAAAAGGUUUGGUGAAGUCAGGUAAAGCUAGAACAGGAGCUGUAGACAUAGCUUCCUUGAGCAGAUUGAAGGCCUUCUCUGCCUCAUCAUUCCACUUGAAAUUGUCUUUCUUUAGGAGAAGAGUCAGUGGUCUACUAAUCAACCCAUAAUGUUUGACAAACUUUCUAUAAUAACCAGUCAAUCCCAAAAAUCCCCUAAGUUGUUUAACAUUCUUUGGAACUGGCCAGGUGACCAUGCUGGUUAUUUUUGCAGGGUCAGUGGAGACUCCUUCUGCAGUGAUGACAUGACCCAGAUACUCAAUUUGUUGUUGCCCAAAUUGACAUUUGCUCCUUUUGGCAAAUAAGGUAUGUGCCCUCAAUAACUCCAGCACCUGUUUUAAGUGGAUUAAAUGCUCUUCCAACGUUUUGCUGUAGACCAAGAUAUCAUCAAAGAAAACCAAUACACUCUUCCUUAAGUACCCCUGAAAAACUCUAUUCAUUAAAGAUUGAAAAGUAGCUGGAGCAUUACACAAUCCGAAGGGCAUUACCAAGAAUUCAUAAUGACCCUGAUGAGUGCUAAAGGCAGUGAGGUAUCUGUCAGCAGGAUCCAUUAAUAUUUGGAAAUAACCUGACCUCAAAUCCAAUUUAGAAAAGUAUCUUGCUCCAUGCAGCUCAUCUAGCAAUUCCUCAAUAAUAGGGAUAGGGUAAUCAUGCUUAACUGUUAAUGAGUUUAGAUACCUGUAAUCCACACACAUCCUCCAAGUAUUAUCCUUCUUCUUUACUAAAAUGACUGGUGCAGCAUAAGGACUCCUGCUAUGCCGAAUAACACCAUCCUUUAAUAAAUCACCAACAAUUCUUUCAAUCUCAUUCUUGUGGGUGUGUGAUGUUCUGUAAGGAUGUUGAUGCCUAGGCUCACUAUUGGGUUUCAGCCUGGUGUGGUGCUCUAUUCCUCUUUCAGGUGGCAGCCCUUGUGGUUCCGCAAAAACAUCAUUGUACUCCUCCAACAAAGGCAGCAACACUGGUUCAGUCAGUGAUUGUUGAGUUUCAGGAGUAAUAAGGUAAAUCUCCUCCACUUCAUGUAGGUGACAAUGUAAUAGAGAGUAUAUCCCAGCUUCAGAUAUGACAUGACACUCAGUAGACUUAUUGAUUGCUUGUAUUUUCAACCUUUUACCUCCCAUGGUGACAAUACAAGUCAUCUUCUUAUAAUCCAAAGUAAUUGGAGUAACAAACUCCAGCCAAUCACUGCCUAAGAUAACAUCAUAUCCCUCGUUCCUGAGUAGCCUUAAAGAGUAAGUAAACAUGUGGCCCUGAACAGUCCAGCUGAAAUCAGUAGCUACAGCCUGACUAACUAGCUUCUGUCCAUUUGCUACCUUUACCAACAAAGGUUCCCCAGUAUCCACUUUGCAUCCCAACUUCUUUGCUGUACUCUCCUUAAGGAAACUCAAGGUACUCCCAGUAUCAAUGAGUACUUGCAGUUUAUGGUCCCCCACUUCUCCAACCAUCCUCAUUGUCUUUGAUCCAGUACUGCCUAAUAAAGCAUUUAUAGACACUUGAAAUUCCUCAGUAGUCUCAAGGAUAGGAGUUUCCAUUUCUACAAAUUCAUUAUCAUGCUGCAUUUGUGCAAGUUCUUGUUCCUCGGGCAUGGAGAUAUAAAAUACUUUUGGCUUGCACUUAUGCCCGAAGACAUAUGGAUCAUCACAGUUGUAGCAUAAUCCUUUUUCCCUUCUUGCUGCCAUCUCUGAACUUGUAAGCAUCUUGAUAGGAACCUUAAAGUUGUUAGUGGUUUUGUGGGCAAUAGCUUGUUCAGGCUUCUUGUAACCCCCUCCUCCUUGAUUACUAGAAAAUUUUUGCCCCGAACGCACCCUCUUGGCCAAAGCAUCCAGCGUGAUGAGUUGCUUCUGUCCAAAAUCAAUAGCUUCCCUCAAGGUUUGAGGUUUAAAUAAUAGUAGGAAGCUUUGCAUUUCCUCAGAUAAGCCACUGAUAAAAUUGGCCACGAAGUACUCCUCUGAAUACUUGAUCUGGCUGCUCAAUAAUAAACAAGCCCUCAACUCCUCAAAUUUCUCAACAUACUCAUCAUAAUUUCCAGUCUGCUUUAGGUUCUUAAAUUCCAUCAUCAACCUGCCCUCAUUAAUGUCCUCAAACCUGGCAGCAACAACAUCUAAGAACUGUUCCCAAGUAAUGUCUAACACAUUCUCAUAACCAAAGUUUUGAAACCAUAGUAGUGCUUUGCCCUCAAAAUUAUGGAUAGCUAGCUGUAUCAUGUGCUCAUCAUACAUCACAGAGGUAAGCUUAAAAUAUGUAUUGCAUUUAAUGAUCCAUGCUCUAGGGUUUGAUCCAUUAAAUUUUGGAAAGUCUACCCUAUGGUUUGUAUUUGCAGAAUAUGGAGUAUCGGAUGUAAAUUUUGAAGAAAAAGAACCGGAUCCGGGAGAUUUACCAUCACGAUGAGGAGUGUGACCCAGAAUAGAGCCCCCUGAAGAUCCACCUUGUUUUUUGCCCAAAUUCAUUAACUGCAGCUGGAUGUCAGCCAACACAGCAGAUAAGUGUUCACACUUUUUAUCUAUGUUUACCAUCUUCGAAUCUACUGAAGAAAUCUGCUCCUUCAUUCUUUCCUCAGUAGCAACCCUUUUUAACGUCUCAGCUUGAAAGAUUUGCUCUAAUUUCUUCUGUGUAUCCUGCAGAUCCUUGAAACGAGUAGCCUCUGCCAUGAUCGCCCAGAAUUUCGCUCAAAUAAGCAAAAACCCGUGCUCUGAGAUACCAAUUGUAAUGGACCCAGCUAUGUAAAUUAUGGAUUUUGGUGAUUUUGCUAAUGGAACAGUGAAUCGAUUUGUUUAGAAAGGAAGGAAGUAUAGAGAGAGAAGUUUAGAGAGGAAAAGACAUUUCUCAUUUCUUGUCUUCCACUACAAGCAUCGGAG
This 5752-nucleotide long non-coding RNA is filed under the name Salvia miltiorrhiza (redroot sage). RNAcentral's name for it is "long non-coding RNA (SMIL_LNC005854)". The record is from RNAcentral. Lineage: Eukaryota; Viridiplantae; Streptophyta; Magnoliopsida; Lamiales; Lamiaceae.